UACGUAGGGUGCGAGCGUUACUCGGAAUUACUGGGCGUAAAGCGUGCGCAGGCGGUUCGUUAAGUUCGUCGUGAAAGCCCCGGGCUCAACCUGGGAAUGGCGAUGGAAACUGGCGGGCUGGAGUGCGGCAGAGGGGGGUGGAAUUCCACGUGUAGCAGUGAAAUGCGUAGAGAUGUGGAGGAACACCGAUGGCGAAGGCAGCCCCCUGGGCCGACACUGACGCUCAGGCACGAAAGCGUGGGGAGCAAACAGG
This 253-nucleotide ribosomal RNA is filed under the name uncultured bacterium. RNAcentral's name for it is "partial 16S ribosomal RNA". It matches the Rfam family "Bacterial small subunit ribosomal RNA", at positions 524 to 776 of the family's 1533-position model. The record is from RNAcentral.